AAUGUCCUACGGGGCGCAGCAGUGGGGAAUAUUGCACAAUGGGGGAAACCCUGAUGCAGCGACGCCGCGUGAGAGAAGAAGUAUUUCGGUAUGUAAAGCUCUAUCAGCAGGGAAGAAAAUGACGGUACCUGACUAAGAAGCCCCGGCUAACUACGUGCCAGCAGCCGCGGUAAUACGUAGGGGGCAAGCGUUAUCCGGAUUUACUGGGUGUAAAGGGAGCGUAGACGGUGAUGCAAGUCAGAAGUGAAAGCCCGCGGCUCAACUGCGGGACUGCUUUUGAAACUGUAUGACUG
Molecule: ribosomal RNA, 293 nt
Filed under: uncultured bacterium
Lineage: Bacteria
Description: partial 16S ribosomal RNA
Rfam family: Bacterial small subunit ribosomal RNA
Source: RNAcentral